AAGGAUAUAGCUCAGUGGUAGAGUGCCUGCUUAGCAUACAUGAGGUCCUGGGUUUGAUCCCUGGUACCUCUG
Molecule: transfer RNA, 72 nt
Filed under: Camelus bactrianus (Bactrian camel)
Lineage: Eukaryota; Metazoa; Chordata; Mammalia; Artiodactyla; Camelidae
Also listed under: 2 other names
Rfam family: tRNA
About the family: Transfer RNA (tRNA) molecules are approximately 80 nucleotides in length.
Source: Rfam by way of RNAcentral